This 497-nucleotide ribosomal RNA is filed under the name uncultured bacterium. RNAcentral describes it as "partial 16S ribosomal RNA". It matches the Rfam family "Bacterial small subunit ribosomal RNA", at positions 28 to 507 of the family's 1533-position model. The record is from RNAcentral.
GAUGAACGCUGGCGGCGUGCCUAAUACAUGCCAGUCGAGCGAACAGACGAGGAGCUUGCUCCUCUGACGUUAGCGGCGGACGGGUGAGUAACACGUGGAUAACCUACCUAUAAGACUGGGAUAACUUCGGGAAACCGGAGCUAAUACCGGAUAAUAUAUUGAACCGCAUGGUUCAAUAGUGAAAGACGGUUUUGCUGUCACUUAUAGAUGGAUCCGCGCCGCAUUAGCUAGUUGGUAAGGUAACGGCUUACCAAGGCAACGAUGCGUAGCCGACCUGAGAGGGUGAUCGGCCACACUGGAACUGAGCCACGGUCCAGACUCCUACGGGAGGCAGCAGUAGGGAAUCUUCCGCAAUGGGCGAAAGCUUGACGGAGCAACGCCGCGUGAGUGAUGAAGGUCUUCGGAUCGUAAAACUCUGUUAUUAGGGAAGAACAAAUGUGUAAGUAACUAUGCACGUCUUGACGGUACCUAAUCAGAAAGCCACGGCUAACUACGUG